Molecule: ribosomal RNA, 1215 nt
Filed under: Salmonella enterica
Lineage: Bacteria; Pseudomonadati; Pseudomonadota; Gammaproteobacteria; Enterobacterales; Enterobacteriaceae
Description: partial 23S ribosomal RNA
Rfam family: Bacterial large subunit ribosomal RNA
Source: RNAcentral
UUGGCCGGGCGACGGUUGUCCCGGUUUAAGCGUGUAGGUGUGUGUUCCAGGUAAAUCCGGUUCACUUUAACACUGAGGCGUGACGACGAGGCACUACGGUGCUGAAGCAACAAAUGCCCUGCUUCCAGGAAAAGCCUCUAAGCAUCAGGUAACAUCAAAUCGUACCCCAAACCGACACAGGUGGUCAGGUAGAGAAUACCAAGGCGCUUGAGAGAACUCGGGUGAAGGAACUAGGCAAAAUGGUGCCGUAACUUCGGGAGAAGGCACGCUGACACGUAGGUGAAGUGAUUUACUCAUGGAGCUGAAGUCAGUCGAAGAUACCAGCUGGCUGCAACUGUUUAUUAAAAACACAGCACUGUGCAAACACGAAAGUGGACGUAUACGGUGUGACGCCUGCCCGGUGCCGGAAGGUUAAUUGAUGGGGUCAGCGCAAGCGAAGCUCCUGAUCGAAGCCCCGGUAAACGGCGGCCGUAACUAUAACGGUCCUAAGGUAGCGAAAUUCCUUGUCGGGUAAGUUCCGACCUGCACGAAUGGCGUAAUGAUGGCCAGGCUGUCUCCACCCGAGACUCAGUGAAAUUGAACUCGCUGUGAAGAUGCAGUGUACCCGCGGCAAGACGGAAAGACCCCGUGAACCUUUACUAUAGCUUGACACUGAACAUUGAGCCUUGAUGUGUAGGAUAGGUGGGAGGCUUUGAAGUGUGGACGCCAGUCUGCAUGGAGCCGACCUUGAAAUACCACCCUUUAAUGUUUGAUGUUCUAACGUGGACCCGUUACCCGGGUUGCGGACAGUGUCUGGUGGGUAGUUUGACUGGGGCGGUCUCCUCCUAAAGAGUAACGGAGGAGCACGAAGGUUGGCUAAUCCUGGUCGGACAUCAGGAGGUUAGUGCAAUGGCAUAAGCCAGCUUGACUGCGAGCGUGACGGCGCGAGCAGGUGCGAAAGCAGGUCAUAGUGAUCCGGUGGUUCUGAAUGGAAGGGCCAUCGCUCAACGGAUAAAAGGUACUCCGGGGAUAACAGGCUGAUACCGCCCAAGAGUUCAUAUCGACGGCGGUGUUUGGCACCUCGAUGUCGGCUCAUCACAUCCUGGGGCUGAAGUAGGUCCCAAGGGUAUGGCUGUUCGCCAUUUAAAGUGGUACGCGAGCUGGGUUUAGAACGUCGUGAGACAGUUCGGUCCCUAUCUGCCGUGGGCGCUGGAGAACUGAGGGGGGCUGCUCCUA